UACAGAGGGUGCAAGCGUUAAUCGGAAUUACUGGGCGUAAAGCGCGCGUAGGUGGUUUGUUAAGUUGGAUGUGAAAUCCGCGGGCUCAACCUGUGAACUGCAUCCAAAACUGGCAAGCUAGAGUAUGGCAGAGGGCGGUGGAAUUUCCUGUGUAGCGGUGAAAUGCGUAGAUAUAGGAAGGAACACCAGUGGCGAAGGCGACCACCUGGGCUCAUACUGACACUGAGGUGCGAAAGCGUGGGGAGCAAACAGG
RNAcentral lists this ribosomal RNA (253 nucleotides) under uncultured bacterium. RNAcentral's name for it is "partial 16S ribosomal RNA". It matches the Rfam family "Bacterial small subunit ribosomal RNA", at positions 524 to 776 of the family's 1533-position model. The record is from RNAcentral.